RNAcentral lists this ribosomal RNA (450 nucleotides) under uncultured bacterium. Its description in RNAcentral is "partial 16S ribosomal RNA". It matches the Rfam family "Bacterial small subunit ribosomal RNA", at positions 354 to 796 of the family's 1533-position model. The record is from RNAcentral.
GUGGGGAAUAUUGGACAAUGGGCGAAAGCCUGAUCCAGCCAUGCCGCGUGUGUGAAGAAGGUCUUCGGAUUGUAAAGCACUUUAAGUUGGGAGGAAGGGCAGUAAGUUAAUACCUUGCUGUUUUGACGUUACCAACAGAAUAAGCACCGGCUAACUUCGUGCCAGCAGCCGCGGUAAUACGAAGGGUGCAAGCGUUAAUCGGAAUUACUGGGCGUAAAGCGCGCGUAGGUGGUUCAGCAAGUUGAAGGUGAAAUCCCCGGGCUCAACCUGGGAACUGCCUCGAAAAAUGCUGAGCUAGAGUACGGUAGAGGGUAGUGGAAUUUCCUGUGUAGCGGUGAAAUGCGUAGAUAUAGGAAGGAACACCAGUGGCGAAGGCGACUACCUGGACUGAUACUGACACUGAGGUGCGAAAGCGUGGGGAGCAAACAGGAUUAGAAACCCGUGUAGUCC